CAAAGCUCAGAAGGCGGUGCAAAGGAGACUGAGCAGGGGUGCAAAAGCUGACGCGGCCCUUUGGGGCCUGAAAACAGCAGCAAGGCAAUCAACCCAAAGAGCGGACAUCAGAACCGCGGCGGCAGGAAGCUCUGGGUACGGGUGGAGAGUGGAAAAGACACAAAUCCACAGGAGCGCGGGAAGAGCUCAGGCCUGUGGGUGGUGCCCUCGUGGUUGGCGCGCUCUCUUAUCCUAGUUGCUCUGCGGGUCUCUUGCGGUUCUUCAGGGUCUGUUCAUCUCCGAUUGCCUUUCUAUGUCUGUCUCUGUAUGUCAGUGUAUCUCUACGUGUCUCCCUGUAUAUCUCUGUGUUAGGAUCUUUGCCUUUCUGAAUCUGUUUCCAUGUUUGGCCUCUGUAACCUUUGCUGUACGGUGUCUCUGUCUCCUUAGUCUAUUUCAGUCUCUGCUAGGAGGAGUCUAAGUAAAUCCAAGGUCAUAUCGCGCACCAAAGCGGACUCCCGGCCGAAAUCGGGACUCGUAGAGCCCGCUGCGCCUUUUGGUUCUUCCAGCCCAGGAGGCUCCCGCGCGUUUGCAGUGUAGGAGGAAUGAAUGGCAGCGUCGUGGGGGGUGCCUGGGCUGCGGGUGACGCGGGGAAGCACGGAGCGCCUGAGGACUUGGCGCUUGCUAGUAU
This 667-nucleotide long non-coding RNA is filed under the name Marmota monax (woodchuck). Lineage: Eukaryota; Metazoa; Chordata; Mammalia; Rodentia; Sciuridae. The record is from RNAcentral.